UGGGCCUUUUGUUGAAAAUGAUGAGGAAACCAACAAUGAAAUCCUUCAGCAUUUUUGCUGCAAUGGGAGACUCGUGGAUGCAUCGAGGGGCAGUUCUUUGAGCUUGGCUAUACCGUCUGCCUUGGGAUUUGAUGUAGAGAUGUAGUUUUCUUUCCUUACUUGACCACACAUGUCUUACACAUUCCUAUGUGGGUAUGGUAACAGAUUUGCCAAGGAAGUAUCCUAGCAUAGCACACAUGUUUAGGCUUAGAGAAUGGGAGUUGUAUUCAAGCUAACAUUCGGUACUCAAACCAUUAUUGUCAGAAUUUAUUUCAACUUCCGACUGAAUGUGUACAAUGCAGUUAUUUUGAUAAAUAAAAAUAUAUUGAGGAACUAGAACCGCAAAUGAGUUCAACUUGCAAUCUUUCAUUUAUGCUUAAUUGCUAUCCGCUCUAAUUCACAUAGAUGCUAAUUCAACAAGGAAGACAUUGCCCUUUGUAAGAACUUAACAUCGACAUUUCAUAUGUUUCACAGCACUUUCCUAUACUAACUGAAAGUACUCAUAGUUUGACAACAUGAAACUCAACCAAAAACUUUUGGACACUGAUAUCCAUCAAAGUUAUCAUCUAUUCUCAUUCAAACCACAGGUUAGAUGCUUCCAGGUAGGCAGCUGCACUAGAGUGAGGAUCUUUCAGGACAAGCUUCAUGCAGCAAUUAGCAUGGUCUUCAAGCUUCCAGCAUUUAGCUUCUUUUUGAGUUCAAUCUCCUGAACUUGGGAAUUUGCCGAUGCACAAAACCAGCGGCGUAAGUAUUCAAUUAAUACCUUAAGAAAAGAAACGUCUUACAACUUUGGAUAAUUGAAGAGAAACACCACAACCUUUGUCAAACAUAACAUGUAAGUAGCAGCAUGUAUUGCUUGUGCUUGAAAAUCUUCAAACUUGUUGUCAGGUAUAAUUGAGCAAGAAUUUAUAAGAUGCAACUCAUUAUCCAAAAAGAUAUUGACGUCAUCAACUAUGCUUUACUUAUGCUUGGAUUGGUUAGUUACAUCACCAAGAUUAGUUGCAAAAUGCCUUAUCCAGAACAGGGAAAGGAACCUGCGAUAGAGCUACAUAGCCUGUAAUUCAAAUAAAAUGCCAUUUGAAGUUGACUCUGGUGGUUUAAAGACCACUGAAAAUUCCCAUAGAAAAAUCUAUUUUUUUUAUCCUUUUUAUCAAAGAGAUUAGAGGGGAAAAUAUCUGAAACAAGUGCAUCAAUACUCAAAACGUAUUAUCACAACGUAAGGCCAGCUAUUGAGCUUGUGAAUUGAGAUGAUAGAAUGCCAGGAAUCCUUCCUGGAUCUACCAGGCAAUACCACACAUAAAUAGAUUUCAAAGAUGGAACAGUGAAGGUGUUCUUGCCCAUAAAGAAUAUUGUGAAUAAGUCAUGAAUAUUGUUAUCCUAAGUACCUCAUCUAAACUCCUUAGCAUUAGUAGCUGCAAUUUGGCAAGAACUCAAAUUGUGAUGGACAUAGGAAAUAUCAUAAAAAUUUAAAUGAUAUAUUGAAUUUCAACGUAGUUAUUAUUGCUGUGAAAGAUUACACCAUGUUUGAUUUCGUAGAAAGUGCUAUAAUGGCUAUUCUACUCCAACAAAAGGUCAGCUUGCUACUGUCAAUAGGUUGGCUAUUUCAAUAAUAAGUAAUGCCACAAGAAUCUGAUAAGUCAUGCUACAUAAAGAUAUCCAAGUUCCUAUCCAAAAUAUCCUCAAACCAACAACAUAUGUAGGCUGCAACUGUCUGAUAAAAGACAGCAGCUUUAUUACAACCUCAUUGUCCCUUUUUUUAAUUUAUUUUUAUUUUUAUUUUUAUCUUGCUCUACAUAAUUCAAU
RNAcentral lists this unclassified non-coding RNA (1842 nucleotides) under Hevea brasiliensis (rubber tree). The record is from RNAcentral. Lineage: Eukaryota; Viridiplantae; Streptophyta; Magnoliopsida; Malpighiales; Euphorbiaceae.